Molecule: RNA transcript, 1296 nt
Organism: Pyrus x bretschneideri (Chinese white pear)
Lineage: Eukaryota; Viridiplantae; Streptophyta; Magnoliopsida; Rosales; Rosaceae
Gene name: mitochondrial-processing peptidase subunit alpha-like
Exons: 6
Source: RefSeq, a predicted model, not a curated record
AAGGAUUGUAUCUUGUCGUCAAUUCUACGGCCCAGAUUUCCCCAUUCGCAAAAUUCCGCUUGAAUCCGACCUCCGCAACCGGUAAUGGUGGCACCAGCACUUGCCAGCCAGUCCCUCACAUCCGAUUCCUCCUCCACUCUUCCCAAAUCCUUCCACCAAAAAUUCACAGCGAAUCAAAGUCCGUACGGUCAAGGAUUUUGAAGGUGAUCGGCACCCUCCGAUCGCCGCCAUGUUCAAAACCGCAGCUUCGCGCCUUAGGGCUCUCAAGAUUUCGAUGGGGAUAUUAGGGUCGUAUAAGCGCGUUUAACAGGGGAGUGGCCAGAUUUUCAAGUUUGAAUGAUGUUGCAACGAAGCCGUCCUCCUCCUCCUCCUCCUCCUCCUCCUCUCCUUUCCGAGGUUUGUUUUGGCUGGCUGAUUGGGGAAAAGUCCAGGUCUAUGCCUCCAUUAGGCUUGCUUCUUUCAGGCAUCAACCUCCCACCUGCAUUGCCUGACCAUGUUCAACCAGUAGAUGUUAAGAUAACAACUCUCCCGAAUUGUGUCAAAAUAGUUUCCUUAAGGUCAGAGGAAACUCGUUGUGACCUUGCAUUUAAACUUCCUGGUGGCUGGCACAAUGAGAGGGAUGCAAUGACUCUGAAUACACUUCAGGCACUAAUGGGAGGUGGUGAAUCUUUUUCAGCCGGUGGACCUGGAAAAGGGAUGCACUCACGUCUAUAUUCCCGUGUGUUAAAUCGAUAUUCAGAAUUUCAUUCGAUUUUAGCAUUCAGUAGCAUCUACAACGAUACUGGCAUUUUCGGAAUCCAAGCUUCCACUGUAAGAAACUACCAUAUGUCAUGUGAAAAUGUGAAUAAGGAGAAUUUAUUUUCUGUUUAAACUAUACUGGGAGCUGUCUCUGGAUUUCAGUGUCCAGAUUUUUUUCGGAACAGCCAUUGGGAGACAAAUUCUGACGUACGGUGAUUGGAAACUGAGCCAUCUCUUGAAGGCUGUGGAUGAGGUUUCGUUGAAGGAUAUCCCUCCUAUUGGUUAAAAGCUUUUAUCUUCCCCUCUUACAAUGGCAUCAUAUGGUGAUUGCAGGUUAUCAUCUUACUGAGAAUCCUCUGUUCAUGUUACCGGAGUCCCAAGCUACGGUUCAGUCUGCGAAAAGUUCCAUUUAAAAUGAAUUUGCUUUCGUGUGCCAAACUGGGCAUUAAGCUGAUCUGUUGUCUUCGUUUUGCUUGGCAUCCACAUACGCUAGAGCUUGUAUAAGAACAUUUCGGAUGAAUGAGAAAAUAUACGUAAUCUUGAGUGUAAUUAACCCAA